Molecule: long non-coding RNA, 976 nt
Filed under: Marmota monax (woodchuck)
Lineage: Eukaryota; Metazoa; Chordata; Mammalia; Rodentia; Sciuridae
Source: RNAcentral
CUUCUUUUCAAUCCCCAGCACCUCUCCAAAGUGGACAAAGGGCUCUAGUUAACAUUUCUUAAAAGAAAACAAAUGUUCAAUGAGCUUAUCAGAAAACAUUUAACAUCCUGAUCAUCAGGGAAACAUAAAUUAAUAUUACAAUGAAAUAUGACUUCACACCUUUUAGGAUGGCUAUCAUAAAAAAUGAAAGAUAACAAGUGUUUGAGAAGACCUGGAGAAAGAGAACCCUUAUACACUGUCGAUGGGAAUGUAAAUUAGUUUAACCAUUAUGAAAAAUAGCAUGGAGUUUACACACACACACACAAAUACUACCAUAUAAUUCAGCAAUCCCACUACUGGGUGCAUUUACAAAGAAAAUGAAAUCAGUAUGUCAGAAAGAUAACUGAAUUCCCUCAUUCAUUGCAGCACUAUUUAUAAUAGCUAAAUAUUUAUAAUAGCUAAGGUGUAAGUGUCCAUCAGCAGAUGAACAGAUAAGAAAAUAUGGUAUGUAUAUACAGUAGAAUACAAUUGUGCCUUUAAAAAGAAGAGUGUUUUGUUAUUUGUGAAGACAUGGAUGGUUCUAGAGGACAUUAUGUUAAGUGAAAUAAGCUAAACAUAGAAAGACAAGUACUGCCAUGAUCUCAUAUGUGGAGUCCAAAAAAGUUGAUCUCAUACAAGUUGAGAGUAGGAUAGUGGUUACCAGAAACUGAAAAAGGAUGGAGGGUUCAGGGGAUGUUGGUCAAGGAAUACAAAAUUUCAGUUGGACAUGAGAAACAAGUUCAAAAACCUGUUGUACAACAUGGUGACUAUAGUUAGCAACAAUGUAUUGUACACUUGAAAAUUGCUGAGACUAGAUUUUAAUUGUUCUCACCACACACACUAAAAUGAGGUAAUGCGUAUGCUAAUUUAGCCAUUCCACAUUGUAUAUUAUUAUACAUUAUAUAUAUAUAUAUAUAUAUAUAUAUAUAUAUAUAUAUAAUUAUUAUAUAUUUCAAAG